AAAUUGAAGAGUUUGAUCAUGGCUCAGAUUGAACGCUGGCGGCAGGCCUAACACAUGCAAGUCGAACGGUAACAGGAAGCAGCUUGCUGCUUCGCUGACGAGUGGCGGACGGGUGAGUAAUGUCUGGGAAACUGCCUGAUGGAGGGGGAUAACUACUGGAAACGGUAGCUAAUACCGCAUAACGUCGCAAGACCAAAGAGGGGGACCUUCGGGCCUCUUGCCAUCGGAUGUGCCCAGAUGGGAUUAGCUUGUUGGUGGGGUAACGGCUCACCAAGGCGACGAUCCCUAGCUGGUCUGAGAGGAUGACCAGCCACACUGGAACUGAGACACGGUCCAGACUCCUACGGGAGGCAGCAGUGGGGAAUAUUGCACAAUGGGCGCAAGCCUGAUGCAGCCAUGCCGCGUGUAUGAAGAAGGCCUUCGGGUUGUAAAGUACUUUCAGCGGGGAGGAAGGGAGUAAAGUUAAUACCUUUGCUCAUUGACGUUACCCGCAGAAGAAGCACCGGCU
Molecule: ribosomal RNA, 508 nt
Filed under: Escherichia coli
Lineage: Bacteria; Pseudomonadati; Pseudomonadota; Gammaproteobacteria; Enterobacterales; Enterobacteriaceae
Description: bacterial SSU rRNA
Rfam family: Bacterial small subunit ribosomal RNA
Source: RNAcentral